Molecule: ribosomal RNA, 586 nt
Filed under: uncultured bacterium
Lineage: Bacteria
Description: partial 16S ribosomal RNA
Rfam family: Bacterial small subunit ribosomal RNA
Source: RNAcentral
UGAGGAAUAUUGGACAAUGGGUGAGAGCCUGAUCCAGCCAUCCCGCGUGCAGGAAGACGGCCCUAUGGGUUGUAAACUGCUUUUAUACAGGAAUAAACCACCUUUCGUGAAGGGUGUUGAAGGUACUGUAUGAAUAAGCACCGGCUAACUCCGUGCCAGCAGCCGCGGUAAUACGGAGGGUGCAAGCGUUAUCCGGAUUUAUUGGGUUUAAAGGGUCCGCAGGCGGACUAGUAAGUCAGAGGUGAAAGCCGGCAGCUUAACUGUCGAACUGCCUUUGAAACUGCAAGUCUUGAGUGAAAUUGAAGUAGCUGGAAUGAGUAGUCUAGCGGUGAAAAUGCAUAGAUAUUACUCAGAACACCAAUAGCGAAGGCAGGUUACUAAAAUUUUAACUGACGCUGAGGGACGAAAAGCGUGGGGAGCGAACAGGAUUAGAUACCCUGGUAGUCCACGCCGUAAAACGAUGGAUACUGUCUGUUGGGUUUAAAAGAUUCAGUGGAUAAAGCGAAAGUGAUAAAGUAUCCCACCUGGGGAGUACGUUCGCAAGAAUGAAACUCAAAUGAAUUGACGGGGUCAUAGCUGUUUCCUG